RNAcentral lists this ribosomal RNA (267 nucleotides) under uncultured bacterium. RNAcentral's name for it is "partial 16S ribosomal RNA". It matches the Rfam family "Bacterial small subunit ribosomal RNA", at positions 601 to 866 of the family's 1533-position model. The record is from RNAcentral.
CCCUUGGUUCAACCAAGGAAGGGCAUCUGAAACUGUCUGGCUUGAGUACGGGAGGGGGAAGUGGAAUUCCCGGUGUAGAGGUGAAAUUCGUAGAUAUCGGGAGGAACACCGGUGGCGAAGGCGGCCACCUGGACAGACACUGACGCUGAGACGCGAAAGCGUGGGGAGCAAACAGGAUUAGAUACCCUGGUAGUCCACGCUGUAAACGAUGAGUGCUAGCUGUGGUGGGUAUUGACCCCUGCAGUGCCAAGGGCGAAUUCCACAGUG